CGAGUUCCCGUACGAUCACUGAAGUUAAGCAACGUCGAUCCUGGUCAGUACCUAGAUGGGUAACCGCUUGGAAAUCCCAGGUACUGUAAG
Non-coding RNA from Acanthosepion pharaonis, 90 nucleotides. The record is from the annotation of a GenBank genome assembly. NCBI's taxonomy places the organism in Eukaryota, Metazoa, Mollusca, Cephalopoda, Sepiida, Sepiidae.